RNAcentral lists this small RNA (163 nucleotides) under Arabidopsis thaliana (thale cress). Its description in RNAcentral is "ATSL290120". Lineage: Eukaryota; Viridiplantae; Streptophyta; Magnoliopsida; Brassicales; Brassicaceae. The record is from RNAcentral.
AUAUUUUAAAAAUAGGGAUUAUCAUUUACUGUUUAGAAUUCAAAUAUCAUCGAUAAAAAUUUAUACUAUUGUUUUAUAAAUCCGCUUAUCUAGACGGGCCUAACCUAGUAAAUAUAUAAUACACAUCUUAUCAUUCGGUCAAAAUAUUAUGAAAACAUCAUUA